GGAUGGGCAUCCGACAGGCAGCUAAUAGGUACAACAGGAUUUUCAGAAUGAGCAGCUAGUGACAGUCAUGUGAAAAACUAAGUACACUCCCUGGAAAGUUUGUACAUAUUUGGACAGGUGGAUAUGUAAUCUUCACUUCAACACUAUUGACAGGAGGACCUGAGCCCUAGGACCAUGCCCCAGGACUACCUGACAUGAUGACUCCUUGCUGUCCCCAGUCCACCUGGCCAUGCUGCUGCUCCAGUUUCAACUAUUCUGCCUUAUUAUUAUUCAACCAUGCUGGUUAUUUAUGAACAUUUGAACAUCUUGACCAUGUUCUGUUAUAAUCUCCACCCGGCACAGCCAGAAGAGGACUGGCCACCCCACAUAGCCUGGUUCCUCUCUAGGUUUCUUCCUAGGUUUUGGCCUUUCUAGGGAGUUUUUCCUAGCCACCGUGCUUCUACACCCGCAUUGCUUGCUGUUUGGGGUUUUAGGCUGGGUUUCUGUACAGCACUUACAGAUAUCAGCUGAUGUACGAAGGGCUAUAUAAAUACAUUUGAUUUGAUUUGAUUUUGAUUUGCAAGAUCCAUGUUUGGUUCAGCUUAUUUUUUGACAGAUGGCCUCACCUUUUCCUCAAGAAUUCUCUGGUACAAUACUGAAUUCAUGGUUGACUCAAUGAUGGCAAGGAGCAGCAAACCAUAAUGCCACCGCCUCCAUGCUUUGCGGUUGGUAUGAGGUUCUUCUGUUCAAAGGCAGUGUUUUUUUGGUUUUCGCCAAACAUGGCAUCUGGCAUUGCAGCUAAACAACCCCACCUUUGACUGUCCAGAGCACAUUGUUCCUGUAGUUUCGGUCUUUACCCAGGUGUUGUCUGGCAAACAUCAUUCAUAUCUUGAUAUUAUUUUCUGAGAGCAGAGGCUUCGUCCUUCCUGACCUCCAAUGGAGGCCAGUUUGUGCAACAUUGAUUAUGGCAAGUGAGAAAUGUAUAUCCCUUGACGUUAGCCUGGGAUUCUUAGAGACUUCUAUGACAUCUUUUGGUCAGCUCUAGGGCUGAAUUUGGUAGGAUGACCUGUCCUAGGUAAAUUGCCAGUGGUCUGGAAUUUUCUCAAUUUGUAGAUGACACGUUGGACAGUGGAAUGAUGUACUUCGAAUAGCUUGGAAAUGGAUUUGUAACCCUCUCCCAGACUCAUGGUCAUCAAUAGUCUUUCUUCUGAGGGACUUGGAUAGGUCUUUUGAUCUUGUCAUGAUGUGUUACCACACACCCAUAUGGUUACGACCAAACCAGACCAAGUUGCUAAUCUUUAUGGAAGGCUGGAUCCUCCCAACUCUCUAAUCAUUUGCACCUGCUUUGGAGCACCAUAUUCAAAUUAUUGCCGUUUUAUGUGAUGGUAAAGGUAUGGGUCUACUAACUUUUCCACGUAACGAAAUUGCAUUUUUGCUCAUUUUAAUUGCAUAACAUUUUCAACAUUACAUUUUUUUGUGUGAUUUGUUAAAUUGGGUUAAUGAAUUGGGUCAAUGAAUGUGGUUGGAAUUCAGCUAAAAUAUCCAUGUAUCCAAAUAUGUAAAAAAACAAAGACCACUUUCCAAGGGGAGUACUUACUUUUUUCACAUGACUGUAGUUCUAUUUUAAGGGAUGGAGGGUGGUGGUCAGUGAGAGAGCAGGAAGUUAGUAAAGAGGUCACCUGUCUCCUGGGGGUCCAUGCUGUGGUCAGCACUGUGCCCUGGUUGGUCAGUUGGUUCCCAGGGCUGAUGGGAAAAGAAGAAGUAUGAUGAGGAGAUGGAAAGAGAAGUGGAAACUACUGGGCUCUCUCUGGCACCAGCAACGGCCGUGAUGGAACUACUCACCACCAAAGGACCAAGAAGAAGUG
This is a long non-coding RNA of Oncorhynchus masou masou (cherry salmon), 1844 nucleotides long. RefSeq lists it as uncharacterized. NCBI's taxonomy places the organism in Eukaryota, Metazoa, Chordata, Actinopteri, Salmoniformes, Salmonidae. The transcript is spliced from 3 exons. The record is from RefSeq and is a predicted model, not a curated record.